Symphalangus syndactylus (siamang) is the source of this 986-nucleotide long non-coding RNA. RefSeq lists it as uncharacterized. The record is from RefSeq and is a predicted model, not a curated record. Lineage: Eukaryota; Metazoa; Chordata; Mammalia; Primates; Hylobatidae.
CAUUUCAACCUUCCUUUGCUUUUACCCUGUCAUGCUCCCUCACCCCACAAAGCUUUUGUACAUUCUGCAUCUCCUUCCUGGAACAUUCUACCUCCCUCUUCAUCUAGGUCUCUGCCUGAGCCCAGGUUCCCUAAAAAGCCUGGUCUGAGGCAAUGACUAAAAAGGCUCCUAUUUUGUUUAAGGACUCGCAAACUCAUGGCAAGAAGGUGAGGAAAACAGCUACAGAGGGAAGGAUGAGAAGCAAUGCAAAGUGACAUAUACCAUCCUGGCCACAGCUUCCCAAGUUGAGUCCUUUGCUGAGUGCACUCAUGUGGCCAUGAGGGACAUCUCAGAGAGGCUGCAGAGAUCAGAAAAACUCAUCAAAAUGGAGACCUGCAAAUAAGAGGAGGAAGAGGGAGGAGAGAGAACACAGAAAUCUUCCGAGUGGCUUCAGUGACAGGAGGGGAGGAGUCACCACCUGCCAUUUGCAUGUAAGUGUUUUUGUUCCUCUCAUUUACUGCUCCUAUUUAUGCAUGUGUGUGCAGGAUCUUCAAAAUCCAGGUAAGAAACACAGUGAAGAACUCAUCUACUGCAAGCUUGGCCCCAUCCAUCAGUACCAAUGAAGAGAGACAAAUCAGGAUAGAAAGACAUCACUACUGUCUCUAUUGUCAGUGACAUUAUGGACUAAUGAAUAAAAAUAACUGCUUUACACAGUAUUCUACAGUGUUCUACAGCGACUUCAUAUACUCCUUUCAUUCUUGCAAUGACCCAAAUUUAAGUGUUGUGUUUAAACCUAAGUUAGGCACACGUUAAUAUCUCUACUUUACUAAUGAAAAAAACCUGAGGUUAAGUGAUUUAUCCUUGGUCGCCUUCCUGUCAAUGACAGAGGCACACUUUUUAUUUUUAUUUUUUUAUUUUUAUUUUUACUUUUUUAUUAUACUUUAAGUUCUAGGGUACAUGUGCACGACGUGCAGGUUUGUUGCAUAUACGCAUAUAUGUGCCAUGUU